This is a long non-coding RNA of Homarus americanus (American lobster), 1055 nucleotides long. RefSeq lists it as uncharacterized. The transcript is spliced from 3 exons. The record is from RefSeq and is a predicted model, not a curated record. NCBI's taxonomy places the organism in Eukaryota, Metazoa, Arthropoda, Malacostraca, Decapoda, Nephropidae.
CAUGCCCAGUACUUGCCAACAGUGCGUAACAGAGACGUGACCGACCGCCCAAGCGGCUAUCGAGCAGUGGUGAAGAGGAUUAAAGUAAAAAGUGAAAAGUUAAUUUGUAUAGUUUGGAAUAUACUGGGUAAUAUAUAUAGUUUAGAAUAUACUGGGUAAUAUAUAUAGUUUGGAAUAUACUGGGUAAUUUGUAUAGUUUGGAAGAUACUGGGUAAUUUGUAUAGUUUCUAAAUAAUAUUACCCUUCAACCGUACAGAUUCAUACCAUAAACAGUUUUGGCGUGGUGGUGUGUUGGUUCAGUGGGACGGUACUCGAUGUUGAUGAUGGAGGCCUCGGGUACGACUCCUUGACUGUCUCUUAGGAGACAUUGAGCAGGUCGAGGCACAGAGGCAGAAUUCUCAAAGAUCAUGGAAUGACUGCAGAUUCAACUACAGUACAAAACCCUCUGUUAUUGGUGUGGUGCAGUAUGUGGUCAGUGUGGUGCAGUAUGAGGACACAAGUGAAGUGUGGUGCAUUAUGUGGGGACAACAGACCACGAGUGAAGCUUCUCACAAUACACAACGGUGUUCCUUCAGGUAACAGCUGAUGUACGUGAAGGCCAAUGGAGAAGUGACAGAACCUCGAGCAAGAUUUAACUACCAGCAUGUUACUUCAGCCUCAUCAGUUAAGUUACUUGUACAAUAUAUCUUGGCUAGUAUCUUUAUCCAAUAAACCACUCGACACUGCUCCUACACUGGGCAGUGGAGGGGGUGUGUGGGGGGUGCCUUGCUGACUGUUUGAGGCCUAAUAGGUCUGUGUGUAGACCUAGUGAUCAGUGUGUGAGGCCUGGCGGACACUCUUGGAGGGCUAUGGAGGACGAUCUGUAGACAGACUGAUAUUAGAGUAAAAUUAAUAUUAGUUGUAGUGACAGUAGAAAUAUACAGAACUGUAUGCCUAUUGAUUAUUAGUGAAAAUUAGUAGCAGUAGUAAACAUAGUAAGUUAAAAAAGUUGUUGUGGGUGGGUUUCAACUAACUUUACUAACCAUAACCUAACCUAAGAUAAACUAUUCCAAGAC